AACAAUUCAAGAAAACAAACAACGAUGGAUACUCAUCAACGUCCUCUCUUCCUCAUCACCACCUUCCUCCUCCUCCUCCUCCACCACCCCACCUCCACCCAUUCCCUCAUUGACCCCACCACCUACUCCACCCCGGCCGCCGCUCCCACCACCAUCUCGGCUGCCACUCCGCCUGCCACCACCACCACCACUUACCCCACCAAUAAAGACACCGAAUUCAUCCGUUCAAGCUGUGCAUCCACCCGGUACCCCGACGAAUGCUACAACUCCCUCUCGGGCUACGCCAGCGCCGUACAACAAAACCCUGCUCGGCUAGCGCGUGUAGCCAUAGCCGUGAGCCUCUCCAGAGCCAGACUGGAAGCCACUUACUUCUCGAACAUAUCGAAAGAAGCAGACUACGGGGCCGACCAUCGAGUCUCA
Molecule: long non-coding RNA, 420 nt
Filed under: Coffea arabica (coffee)
Lineage: Eukaryota; Viridiplantae; Streptophyta; Magnoliopsida; Gentianales; Rubiaceae
Description: long non-coding RNA (CARA_LNC007557)
Source: RNAcentral